Molecule: ribosomal RNA, 492 nt
Filed under: uncultured bacterium
Lineage: Bacteria
Description: partial 16S ribosomal RNA
Rfam family: Bacterial small subunit ribosomal RNA
Source: RNAcentral
AGUGAACGCUGGCGGUAGGCCUAACACAUGCAAGUCGAACGGCAGCACAGUAAGAGCUUGCUCUUACGGGUGGCGAGUGGCGGACGGGUGAGGAAUACAUCGGAAUCUACUUUUUCGUGGGGGAUAACGUAGGGAAACUUACGCUAAUACCGCAUACGACCUACGGGUGAAAGCAGGUGAUCUUCGGACCUUGCACGAUUGAAUGAGCCGAUGUCGGAUUAGCUAGUUGGCGGGGUAAAGGCCCACCAAGGCGACGAUCCGUAGCUGGUCUGAGAGGAUGAUCAGCCACACUGGAACUGAGACACGGUCCAGACUCCUACGGGAGGCAGCAGUGGGGAAUAUUGGACAAUGGGCGCAAGCCUGAUCCAGCCAUACCGCGUGGGUGAAGAAGGCCUUCGGGUUGUAAAGCCCUUUUGUUGGGAAAGAAAAGCAGCAGGUUAAUACCCCGCUGUUCUGACGGUACCCAAAGAAUAAGCACCGGCUAACUUCGUG